Long non-coding RNA from Esox lucius (northern pike), 7365 nucleotides. The record is from Ensembl. Lineage: Eukaryota; Metazoa; Chordata; Actinopteri; Esociformes; Esocidae.
AGAGUAUUUUUCACCACAUAAAGAUCUAAUUUAAGUUGAAACCAUAAAAGCUGUAAAGAUGAUAAAUAUUGUACUAUGACAGGCUGCUAAGUGUUAUGACAGUAACUUAAAGGUUAUAGAUUGAAUCCCUGAGCAUACAAGGUAAGAAACCUUUUGUUUUGUAAUUAUUAAAAAAAUAUUGUUGGACCAGAAUCCUGACAAUAUAUUUAGGAUAAAUUUGAGGGUAUUCUCUAGUUCUGAAGUAAUGUCAAGUAAUUUAGUCAGUCAUUCACACUGGUUGCACCCUCUCAAAUGAUUUGAAAUGUACACAAUAUUAAAGAUUCAUAAAAUUUUACAGCAGGUACAGUAUAUGCUACUUAUACUGUAUUGGGGAUCUUGCAUUAGGGAUCUUACCACAGCCCCUGGUUAAUACCACUUCCUUGUUUAUUCUUCUAUUGUUUCAGAUAGCUGACUUGUGAUUGUGUUAAAGCUAGCGCUGUAAUUAAAAUAAUAGUAAACAAAUGUUCCAUAGAAAACUGGUUUGAAAAUCCAUUAUUAGGAUACGCAUUUAUACUGUCAUGCUUGUUGCAUCUCCAUCCCUGCCAGAGUGCAUUGCGCUCGCGCACUUUUUGCCGGUGAGCACUUUUUCUAUUCUCCUCCCCCACCUUGAUAAGCGAAUCCCUUGCUCGUGCUGAAGAGCAUGAUCGAUUUGCGCGCCCGCUAGCAGAUGUGGAACGUUAUUCCUUGAUUUGUUGGCUGCGGUGGAACUUGCUGUCCUGUGUUAAGGUAAGAGUUGACUACCGAAAUUAUUAUUAACCAGUAUUUUAGACUAAUGCUUAUAGGCUUGUUUUUUUUUGUAAGCCAUGCCGUUUCUGGAAACGUAAUUAAUUUCGGGGGAAUUUAUUAUUUCUGAUAGUUGUCUCGUGACCUCGUGUCUGACUGGAGAUGAAUUGGAAACUGUUUUCAAACCUAUUUAAAUAUGAAACAUGUGGUUAGUCAUUAUAUAUUUCGCCAUAUAAUUCGCUGCUUUAUGUAAUUAGCUAGAGCUGUGAAUUAAAAUAAUAUUGACGAUUGUCGAACUGGCUUGCAAAAAAGACGUAUAACUAGCUAAUGGUUAGCUAACAUUAGCCAGCUAGCUUAUUGAGAAAGUUAAAGGAGCUAGGCUAGCUAAGUUUAGCUACAACAUAGGCUAUCACUACUGAGUGGGGGAGGGGAAUAGUCAAUGUUAGGACCAGCAGAAUGUGUGUCUAGAGUGGGGGAGGGGAAUAGUCAAUGUUAAGACCAGCAGAAUGUGUGUGUAGUGUGGGGGAGGGGAAUAGUCAAUGUUAAGACCAGCAGAAUGUGUGUGUAGUGUGGGGGAGGGGAAUAGUCAAUGUUAGGACCAGCAGAAUGUGUGUGUAGAGUGGGGGAGGGGAAUAGUCAAUGUUAGGACCAGCAGAAUGUGUGUGUAGAGUGGGGGAGGGGAAUAGUCAAUGUUAAGACCAGCAGAAUGUGUGUGUAGUGUGGGGGAGGGGAAUAGUCAAUGUUAGGACCAGCAGAAUGUGUGUGUAGAGUGGGGGAGGGGAAUAGUCAAUGUUAGGACCAGCAGAAGGUGUGUGCAACAACAAUGUAUUUUCACAUUAUUGUGUAGUUUGGUAUGAAACAUUGAAAGGCUAAAACAUGAUAAAUAUUUCAAAUUGUUAGCCUAGUAUUUUCUUCUUUACUGGUUAGGGUAUGCUUAUUACUGAUAAAUCCAGGAUUUAAAAUAUUAAAAUGUUUUUGUUUAUGCAGAUUCCUGUGAUGACAACACAACAGGUAGUGACUUAUGUUAUGAAUGUUUGCUGUUAUACCACAAGCAGGGAAUGUGUACAUUUAUGUACAAAUACUGUUUUACAUUCAAAGUUGCAUAGAAAAAUAAGGGAAUUAUAUUAAGUGGGUGUUUUUUAGCCAACAGUGAUGUGCCCCAGCCCAGAUUAUCUGUUGUGUGGCUAGCAAUCUUGUCAUUCUGUGUGACCAAACCAAUUUUUUAAAUUUGUCUUCCUUUACGCAGGCACUGCAGAGAUUAAAAUGCCGCAUGGAGCUUUUAAAAAAGCACCAUUCAAAGUGUGAGUCCAGAAUGGAAAAGAGAAACAGAGAAGAGCAGACACCUGAUACUGAUGUUGUCAGUACCUCCAAAGAGAUGGAAGAUGGGACUGAGUCUGGGUCGAGAGGCCAUAUGUUCAAUGAUGCACCUCCCUUGAUCAGAACUGAUAGCGUAUAUUUAACCAAAGAAAUGCUUGGAUAUGAUACUGACAACUCAAUAACCAGCACUGACAACAGUGAGGAUGAUUAUGUCCCAGCCUCAUCGGAGUCAUCAGAGGAAGACAGUUCCGCUGGAAUAUCUGGACUCAAGAGAAAUAAGCCAAAGAAAGACGCACGUAAGAAAUGCUUGAUCAAAAGAAAAGAGUACAACAAGACCUAUGAAGGGCACACUAGUACCCCAAAAGAUGUGAGUCUAAGCACUGAAACCUUGGUUGUAUUGAAAGUCUCGCAGGCUGAUGGUUCCAAGAAUUACCACAAAAAAAAGCACUUCUGUCUGUUCUGUGAAGAACCCCAACUGAAAAUUGCACGUCAUUUAGAACGUAAACAUAGUAAGGAAAUUGAAGUAGCUAGUGCCCUUCGAUUUGCAAAGAAUUCAAAAGAAAGGAGACUUCAUCUGAAUCUCCUUCGCAAAAAAGGGAAUCGGGCACACAACAUUCGGGUACUUAAAGAGGGAAAAGGAUUUUUGGUACCUUGUAAACAAACAAGUAAUCAAGACAGCAAUCCAGAGGACUAUCAGCAUUGUUUUGCUUGCUAUGGGCUCUUCAAACGUAAAUUCAUGUGGAAACAUGCGGAACGGUGUACACUAGCAAGUAAAGUUCGCAAAAUGAUGCCUGGGAAAACCCCAAUACAGACACUCUGUGCAAGCUCUCAACCGGUUCCUAAAGAAGUGAGUGAAAAGUUAUGGAAACUUGUAAAUCAUAUGAAUCAAGAUGACAUAGCCCAUGCAAUAAAAGAAGACCGAUACAUAAUCGCCCUGGGUGAAAAAAUGUUCAACAAAAAGGGGGAGAACCGAUCACAACACCAGCACAUUCGUCAAACUAUGCGAGAACUAGGGAGACUUUUGAUUUCAGGUAGAAUGGUGACACCUUUGAAAAAAAUGAAGGAUUAUAUCAACCCCAAGAACUUUGAAUAUGUCAUAAAAGCUGUCAAAGAAGUGGCUGGCUUUAACGAAGAGACAAAUAGGUUUGGAAAGGCCACUCUGGCCACAAAGCUUGGACAAAAUAUACAGAAAAUUGCAGACAUCUUUGAGAGUGAAGCUCUCAUUGCACAGAAUGAAGAGAAGAUGAAGCUUGUCCGUGACUUCAGAGGUAUAUAUCACCUUCGCUGGAAUGAGAUGAUCUCUGCUGCUGCAUACCGUACACUGGAACAGAAGAAAUGGAAUGCACCCCAGCUCAUUCCAUUAGCAGAUGAUGUAAAGAAAAUGCAUAUGUACAUGGAGGAUGAUCAGAAACGAUACUACGAACAACUGUUAAGUCUAAAAACAUCAAAAAAUUGGAGCAAUCUAGUACAGGUGAUACUGGCCCAGAUGAUAAUCUUCAACCGAAGGAGGGACAAAGAAGUGUCUGCUAUGACUGUGGCAACAUUUCUCUCCCGGGACAAAUCUCCAAUUAACCCUGAUGUUUUAGAAGCAUUGACAGAGGUGGAAAAAAUGCUCUGCAAAUAUUUUGAACGCAUAGAAACCCGUGGGAAGAGGGACAGGAAGGUACCGUUACUUCUCACUCCAGUAAUGGUCAAAUCUUUGGAGCUGCUUGUCAAGGAGCGGAGCUCAUGUGGUGUGGGCGACUAUAAUAUCUACUUAUUUGCCAGGCCAGGAUAUGAUACACAUUUUCGGGGAUCCGACUGCAUUCGUGCCUAUGCCAAAAAAUGUGGAGCCCAGCAACCUAAAGCACUAUCCUCUACUAAACUACGAAAACAGGUUGCCACCCUCUCCAGAGUGUUGAAUCUCAAUGAUACAGAACAGGACCAAUUUGCUGACUUCUUGGGUCAUGACAUUAGGGUACAUCGCAAAUUCUACCGUCUACCUGAAGGAACUCUUCAGUUAGCAAAGAUCAGCAAGAUACUGAUGGCCUGUGAACAAGGCAGAUUGACAGAGUUCAAGGGGAAAAGUCUGGACCAAAUCUCCAUUAGCCCCUGUGAAACUCUCAUGUCUGAAAAAAAGGAUGACACAGACUACUCAAAUUUGGAAUCGGAAAGUGUCUCAGAGAAAGCGGAGUCUUCUGAAGAAGAGUCUUCAAAUGGAAACCUGACAGAGAUGACAGCGAUUGGUCACAGGCAGUCAGCACAGAAGGGGAAGCUGGGACAAAAGAGCUGUUCCCACAACACGGCCGUAUCUGAACAAACCGAAGACACAGGCUCCAACUGGGCAUCAGGAAUUCACUCUGAUAGAGAGGAGUCUUCUGAUACUGAUCUGACAGAGAUGACAGCGAUUCGUCACAAGCAGUCAGCACCAAAGGGGAAGCUGGGACGAAAGAGCGGUUCCUACAAAGCUGCCGUGUCUGAAAAAAUGGAAGACGCACACUGGAAUUGGGCAUCAAGAAGUGACCCUGAUAGAGAGGAGUCUUCUUAUACUAUUCUGCCAGGAAAGACGUCAGCGAAACAAGACGUGCAACCAGGACCAGCAAAAAGGUUUGAAAAGCAGUCUUUUUCCCUCCCUGCCAAAGGGGCAAAACAGAAGUGGUCGAGUACGGAGGUGGAUGCAGUUGAACAUUCUUUGAUGGAUUUCAUUCGAAUUGGAAAGACCCCUGGAAAACAAGACUGUGAGAGAUGUAUUUCUGCUUUUCCCCAAGCACUAGUAAACCGGGACUGGAGAGCUGUAAAAUUCUAUGUACGCAAUAGAAUAACUGCAGAUCAAAGACGUCCAAAUGCAAAAUACAUGUGAUUUUUAUUUGUUCUAGCUACAAAAGUUAUAUGGUUAAAAUCUUAACUUGAUAUGGUGGUUCCUCAACCUGAAUCUUGAGUGUGAGCCAAAUUCUGUAAACCAUGAGUUGGUUUAUAUUUAGGAGCCUUUACGAAGUCUAAAAAUCAACAGAAGUAAAUGGGGCUGAUGAGCAUGUUUUUAUUUUUCAUCAGCAUCAAACAAAAUACAAUUUUAUUUUGAACAGGUGAUUAAGACAUUUAUUUUAACUAGGCUCACACUCAGCCAGCUGUUUUGGCGUUUGUUAUAGCUCUUUAAAGAAAGAUUAACUGUUCAUUUUUUGUCCAGUCAGUGACAAACCACUUUAAUAGUUAGUAAGCAAAAAUUUUAUACUUUCAAUGUAGACAUUCUCAUAGGCUUCUUUUAUUUUUCCUGUUGAAUGUUUACAAAAAAAUUACUGCAAUUACAAUAAAAAAAUAAGUAUACUUAAAAUUAUCUAAACUUUAACAAAUUUAAAUAGAAUUAUUUAGUGUAUACAUUUAAAAUAUUUGAAGUGUUUUUUAAGACAAGAUUAGUUAAAUCUCAAUUUAGAGCAUUUUAUUUUAAUAUACUGGAAAACUUAAGCAAUAAAAUACAGGGGGUGUUUAUUUUGAAUAUACCAUGUUUGUUUAUCACAACUUUUUUUACUGCUGUCAUUAGUGGUACCGGUUCAUAAUAGCAGUAUAACAUCUAAGGGGUUUGUAAUAUAUCGCCAGUUUACCAUGGCAGAGAGUUGUUUGUAGGCAUGAUUGAACACCAUUGAUGCAGCAUUAGGUUGUAGUACGUUGGCAAUGUAUCAAACUCCUGAGAUGCCUUACUGCUCUUCUAAACCGUUCACUAACACAAUUAGAGCAGUAGGAAGUGAUGGCAUCAUAGCUGUGAUAUACAAACCAUCGUCCAAUCAACAAUCAUAAUUAAGUCUUAACAAUAUAUCAUAUCAGUAUAUCAAGGUAUGACAUUGACAUUACUUUUUCUGCUCUAAUUUUGUUGGUAGCAGUUUUAUUUUUUUAUUUUUUACAGCUGCAGUGUCUUACCUAAGAAAAGUUCUUACCUGUGGGAUUUUGGCUGUAUACCAUACCCCCUUAUUCAUUUUACUUUUAAGUACAUUUGAAAUAUAAUUUCCUUGGAAAACAGAUCAUCUUUAAACAUGUACAUCUAAGGAUGGAAUUCAAUUAUGCAUUAUGUGUUGAAGGUUGCAUUGAAACAAAACGAAUGGAGAUUGAUCUUGUAUUCUAUGUAAGCAAAGAGAAAUGGGAAGUCUUUGUUUUGGUCUAAACUUUUGGAAUAGUAGAAAAAAUUAAAUGUUUUUUGCAGUAUAAAAUGAGUUUCUUACGACAGUAUUUUGUAACUGUUUUUACAAUUUCAAAAAAAAAUUGAAUAGUAAUAUCUAGUUUUGUGAUUGCAUGAGAUCAAUUGAUCUCCUCUAUAGGGUUGUCCCAUAAUUAUCUUAUAGCAUAGGGUGAAUUCAGACGACUGCUGUUUCAGCAAAAUCUUUCUUAUCCAUUGACAAGAUAGACAGUAAAUGUAUAGCAGUACAAUUGCUGCGAAUAUACUGUCGCAGCUUCAACACCCCGUGACGAGAUUACCAAAAUCACUUGUUGCUUUGUCCACCAACAAUGCCCGUGUAUUGUCUGUCAGCAAAAUGUUUUUAACUACGGUUGACAGCCAGAUGUAACCAUUACGUUCAAUCAGCACCCCUGCUCAAAAUGUCUUUCUGUGAAUAUAUUGUAGGAGAGGCACUGGGAGUGGACGUGGGGUGUGUUCAGGGCCCUAGUGGUUGUUUUAUUAACAAAAUGAAGGGAGAGUGGAGUAGUUGAGGGAGAAUCAAAAACCAAUAAUUUAAUCCCUUUGAGGAAGCAGCAUCAAUUUCGGGGGACCUCCUGUUGGGGAUUUGGGAAGAAUGGUUGUCGGGGUUGUAGGUUUGGCAGCGGUUUCAACAUGUCCCAUUUCCUGGUAAUCUUCCUCUUUUUUUUUCCAGCCUUCUCUUGUCCAUCUAUCCGCACUUUGUUUAUGUGGGCCUUGGCCCCGAGAUGCUCUCAAGAAAACUUAAAGUACCUCAUCUGAUAAAGUCCCAAUGGAUGGCAGGUAUGCAGGGCUGGUGCUGGUAGGACCGUAAUAUUCUGGACGCUACAGUCUGUUUUUGUUGAGAGCGUUAGUGCCACACAGAUUUGUGUGGGUGCGUUUCCACAUUGGUUAUUAAUGAAUCACUGCAAACGGUCCUAAGAAGUUGGUCAUUUCUGAAAUAAUUUUUUGAGGGAAUAUGUUAUUGUUGAAGUGAUUUUCUAAUUAUAGAUUUUUUUUCAAACUCUGGACUGUAAUUGCUGUGCUUCUUAAGUGUCUGGAAAGCAUGGUCCCUGUGAGGUAGGCUUUUCUUGGAGGUCCUAAAUCGUUAAGUAAUACAAGACUGUGUGUGUGUGUGUGUGUGUGUGUGU